Molecule: long non-coding RNA, 1669 nt
Organism: Bos grunniens (domestic yak)
Lineage: Eukaryota; Metazoa; Chordata; Mammalia; Artiodactyla; Bovidae
Source: Ensembl
UCAGAUCAUUUUUUAAAUGAAAGGAUAUUUUCCUUGCGGUGCUGCUGUCCUGAGGGCAUUCUCUCGGGGUACCAGGUGCCUGAUGACCAUCCUGGGUGCUGGAGGAGACAGUUUGCUGUUUCCACUGGGAGAGGUUUGGAGAGAAGGUACCUGCUAGGCCCCUUGGGGGAGGGGGAUGCAAGAAGAGGAGGGGUCAGAGCAGCCUGGCCAUGGCUGCUGCUCAAAGCCCACGUGGAGGUUGAAUUCCUGAGUGAGUCAUCUCAGUGACCCCAGACAUGCUGAGAAAACAUCUGACCCCCAAGGAGCCUUUUACUCUGAACCUGUGACCCCGGCCAGGUUCCCAGUGAUGCUGGAGGUUAUCUCGGUCCCACAGUGAUCCCAGGGGUCUUCUCCAACUACUGGACGUGAGAGAUUCCUGACAGCGAGAAGAAAGAUUAGAAGGUCAGGAGUCCGGGCGGAGAGAUGGAAGAGGAGAUGUGACAUAGACGCAUGCUGACAUGGAGAUGGGCAGUGACUGCAGAGGACAUCGGGACAGGAUGUGGGGGAAUUAACACGGGGACCACGCACAUCCUUCAAAGUCCUGGGUGGCUCAAGCCUGGCUUAGCUGUGAGGGCAGACUCGGAUGAGAGAGAAGGAAAGCAAAUGACAGCACUUAACAGCCUUGACCAAGACAACUGGAGCACAGGAAACGGGGGAUAGAGUCAGGAUCGCAGCAGAGGGACACAUGGAAAUGGCGCUAGGAAUGUUAUCAAUGAUUCACAGAAAAGACUAGAACAACAGGCUGGAAAAAAUGUACAUGAAGAGGCAGGUGAACAUUAUAAAACCGUGGAGGGACCGAGGAGGAGAUGUGAUCUCAUUAAGUAAAAACAUAACUUAGAGGUUACAGACUGCCUGACAGAACAGUGUGGAUUGGGUGAUAAUCCAAUAAACUGGGAGUUUUUACCUAAAUGUGUAGAGUUUUUUUUUUUUUUACAUCUUUUGAUACAUUUUCCAGGUCUUGCACAGAGGGCCUUGCAGCCCCAUAUGACAAACAUGAGCAGGUACAGAGCCCAGGCUGUCACCGAGGGAUGGUCCCCCUUUUCUUCUCGGGCCUCCUCACUGGCAGUCUAAGCGGGUAUUGCACCGAGGUGCCCAGGCCCGUGAUGUUGGUUUAAAUACAAAAUUUCAGUCUGGGGACUUUACUGGUGGUCCAGUGGUUAAGGCUCUCGACUUUCACUGCAGGGAGCACUGGUUUGAGGCCUGGUCAGGGAACUAAGAUCCCACAUGCCACAUGGCCAAAACAAACAAAUGGAGUAGAUGUAUGUAUGUGCAUAACUGACUCUACAUACAAGUGAAACUAACACACACUGUACAUCAACUAUACUCCAAUAAAGAUUUAAAAAGAUCAGCAUAUGCUCAUUUAAAGAAAAAGUCUGGGUAUAAGACCACAGGUGGAGACUAUAGGCCGGGCUGCAGGCUGACCCACCUUCCGCCUGCACCUGGGCAGGUGGUGAGCUCAUUGCGGGGUGGGGAGGUGUGGGAAUCAGGCUGCUCCCAGCAUGGCAGCUCCAGCCCAGGGGUGGUGGGAGGGAAGCAGCAUGGGAGUCAUCGCCAUGGGUGCAAAUAAAAGUCUCACUCCAUGCCUUCCUCCUCUUGACUCACUGCCUCCUUAUGAAUGAGUGGCCGUGAG